UACGAAGGGGGCUAGCGUUGUUCGGAAUUACUGGGCGUAAAGCGCACGUAGGCGGAUCGAUCAGUCAGGGGUGAAAUCCCAGGGCUCAACCCUGGAACUGCCUUUGAUACUGUCGAUCUGGAGUAUGGAAGAGGUGAGUGGAAUUCCGAGUGUAGAGGUGAAAUUCGUAGAUAUUCGGAGGAAUACCAGUGGCGAAGGCGGCUCACUGGUCCAUUACUGACGCUGAGGUGCGAAAGCGUGGGGAGCAAACAGG
Molecule: ribosomal RNA, 253 nt
Filed under: uncultured bacterium
Lineage: Bacteria
Description: partial 16S ribosomal RNA
Rfam family: Bacterial small subunit ribosomal RNA
Source: RNAcentral